CCUCCUCCUGAUUGGCUGAAGAUCAAGGCGCACGCAAAGCGGGACGUCUUUGCCAAACAAUCGGAGGCUGCUGGAUAUCAAAUGCGUCUUCUUCUCCCCAAAUCUUUUUAAAAAUCAGUCCCUUCAAGCCUUUCGUGUUGUAAUCGUUUGAAAGGAUGGCGGAAAGCGAGGUGGACACGCCGAGCACCCCGAUUGAAUACGAGAGCAAAUACUUCGAGUAUCAUGGAGUUCGACUCCCUCCUUUCUGCAGGGGCAAGAUGGACGAGAUCGCCAACUUUUCGUUAAGAAGUAGCGACAUAUGGAUCGUUACAUACCCCAAAUCAGGUACGAGUUUGUUACAGGAGGUGGUGUAUCUGGUGAGUCAGGGUGCGGACCCAGAUGAGAUCGGCCUCAUGAAUAUUGAUGAGCAGCUUCCUGUGUUGGAAUAUCCACAGCCGGGUUUGGAGAUCAUCCAGGAACUGACAUCGCCUCGUCUGAUCAAAAGCCACCUGCCACAUCGUUUCCUGCCCACAGCGAUGCACAAUGGCGAAGGCAAGGUGAUCUAUAUGGCCAGGAAUCCUAAAGACCUGGUGGUGUCCUACUACCAGUUUCAUCGCUCUUUACGAACCAUGAGCUACCGGGGAACGUUCCAGGAGUUCUGCAGGCGAUUUAUGAACGACAAGUUGGGAUAUGGCUCCUGGUUUGAGCAUGUUCAGGAGUUCUGGGAGCAUCGCAUGGACUCUAAUGUUCUCUUCUUGAAAUAUGAGGAUAUGUACAAGGAUCUGGGGACCCUGGUGGAGCAGCUGGCUCGCUUUCUGGGCAUCUCGUUUGAUAAAGCCCAGCUGGAGAGCAUGGUGGAGAGCUGUAACCAACUCAUCGAGCAGUGCUGCAACUCUGAGGCCUUGUCCAUCUGCCGGGUGCAUGGAUUCUUGGCUUGGCAUGACGCUGAAAAAUCUCAUUAUAUACAGUAGGGAUUUAUUAUACUAUAAGUGUGCAUGAAGAUAUACUGUGAACACGAAGAUGGAAAAAGUGUGAGAAAGGUCGUGUUGGGCUUUGGAAGGACAUUUUCACUGUGUCCAUGAAUGAAAAGUUCGAUGCUGUUUACCGACAGAAGAUGGCAAAGUCUGACCUGACCUUUGACUUUAUCCUGUGAGGGAGCGACACUGGACUAUCUGUUGACUGCUCAAGAACAAACCAACCAACCAAUCAGUUCAUCCGCUGUGCUUAAUGUCACCUGAUGGACAUUCCCCAUCCAGAUUUUCUCUCUCCAUCCCCACCAUCCCUUGCUCAUCAAUGCUUUCAUUAUUUCCUCAAAAGUUACUUCUUAGUACAAAUACGCGGUCAGUACUAAGAGGCCUUUUUUUCACGUGUGUAUUUGUAUAAACAGUGCAUCAGCAGUGCUAGUCCGAAGUGUAAGCACAGUGCUUGUUGCGUUUGCACAUUGUACAGAGCUAUUCCAUAUCCCAAAGGCGCUUAUGAAAAGUGUAUUUAUUAAAAAUCAGAAAUGAAAAAUGAUUUAGACUAUAUUCUAUAUGCUAAAGCCCUUACGACAAACUCUCAAAGAAAUCGUUGUCGUUUCUCAGGAGGAUUCUUGAAAUCAUUGGCUAAUACAUGCACCAAAUAUGCAGUCAUCCAAUCACAGUUCAGGUCGGGAAAACCUGAGCCUCAUGAUGAAUGCUGAUUGGCUCCUGGCUGAAAGAUCUUAAAGUGUGUGUCGAAUGUCAUUUUGCUUCUUCUAGUGGCUUCUAGAUGCUUUGACUUAUAUUCCAGUAUAGCUAUUCAUUGAUAUCAUAGAUAUUUAACUUUUUUUUUUUUUUUUUUUUA
Molecule: RNA transcript, 1803 nt
Organism: Onychostoma macrolepis
Lineage: Eukaryota; Metazoa; Chordata; Actinopteri; Cypriniformes; Cyprinidae
Gene: sult4a1
Gene name: sulfotransferase family 4A, member 1
Exons: 8
Source: RefSeq, a predicted model, not a curated record